This 223-nucleotide ribosomal RNA is filed under the name Isospora sp. Tui1. Its description in RNAcentral is "partial 18S ribosomal RNA". It matches the Rfam family "Eukaryotic small subunit ribosomal RNA", at positions 84 to 308 of the family's 1831-position model. Lineage: Eukaryota; Apicomplexa; Conoidasida; Eucoccidiorida; Eimeriidae. The record is from RNAcentral.
UAACUGCGAAUGGCUCAUUAAAACAGUUAUAGUUUAUUUGAUGGUCUCUUUUACAUGGAUAACCAUGGUAAUUCUAUGGCUAAUACAUGCGCAAUCGCCUCCUUCUCUGGAGGGGCUGUGUUUAUUAGAUACAAAACCAACCCACUUUGUGGAGUCGUGGUGAUUCAUAGUAACCGAACGGAUCGCAGUUGGCUUCGGCCCGCGAUGGAUCUUUCAAGUUUCU